Epinephelus fuscoguttatus (brown-marbled grouper) is the source of this 743-nucleotide long non-coding RNA. RefSeq lists it as uncharacterized. NCBI's taxonomy places the organism in Eukaryota, Metazoa, Chordata, Actinopteri, Perciformes, Serranidae. The record is from RefSeq and is a predicted model, not a curated record. The transcript is spliced from 5 exons.
UACGUCAGUUAAGUAGCCUAUUUGCAAACAGUUUAAAAACUGAACGCGACUUCUUGGGAAAUUUACAGUUACGUUAAUUAACGUCAGCUUACAGUGUUAAUAUUUAUAUAAUGUUCGUCACAGGUUUACUUUGAGAUAAAUGCUUGUACUAAGUGGGGGUUUUUUCUUCUCGUUUUUGGUUUAGUUUCCUGCUUUAGGGAACCCGCCUUACAUGAUCCAGUGUGGAAGAUUUAGUGGCAGCAGUGAGGACUGCAGAUUGCGACCAGCUGAGACGUCUCCCGGUUAGAAUUUCAGUGUUCAUUGUUCAGGAGGUUUGUACCGGGAGCUGAACUAUCUGCAGAGGUCUUCUCUUCUCCAAAAGAAAUGGACCAGAUAAAUGCACAGAGAGAAGAUGCCUGGAUUUGCCUCAUGACAACAGCUGAUCAGAUAUUAAGAUGACUGCAUCUCAGAACAUGUCUUCACCAUAUAGAGGCCCUGUGUUCACCUCUGAUAGACCAGAUGAACCUGCGGAGCAGCAGCAGAGUUUCUUGGAAAGUGCAGUACCUGAGCCUUGGGGACGGACAUUUGGAGCCAUCUACAGAUAACGUAUGCAUUGAAGAUGUUUGAAAGUGAGAGUUUUGCAUCUGAACACUUUGAAUAAAUGCUUCAGUACAUGUCUGAACAAUACUGGGGCAUGUCUAAAGACAGCAGUAUACCUUUGUGAUAUUUUGUUGAUCAGAUAUUCAAUAAAAGGUCAAAUCUAA